GACGAGUGACAUUUAUGAAUCUACCUGCUUGUGGGGGAUAGCUCACGUGAAGCUCACAUUAAUUCCUCCCACAAACUACCGGUGAAAGGGGGCGCAAGCUCUUGCUAUCACAUGACCCUAAAUCAGAUUAGCUAGUUGUUGGUGUAAAGGCCCACCACGGCUACCAUCUGCAACUGUUCUGAGAUGAUGAUCAAUCACACCCAACCUGACUGACACUCCGGACUCCUACAGACUGCUACAGUGGGCAAUAUUGGACAAUGUUGGCAACCGUUGAUCCAGCCUUGCCGCGUGUGUCGAAGAAGGCCUUUUGGUUGUAAAGCACUUU
RNAcentral lists this ribosomal RNA (325 nucleotides) under Vibrio sp. I2Ma4. RNAcentral's name for it is "bacterial SSU rRNA". It matches the Rfam family "Bacterial small subunit ribosomal RNA", at positions 101 to 436 of the family's 1533-position model. Lineage: Bacteria; Pseudomonadati; Pseudomonadota; Gammaproteobacteria; Vibrionales; Vibrionaceae. The record is from RNAcentral.